UUCAUAUUAGGAUGUGCAACUACAUGUGGACGGGCAUGGCUCCAACUUGAAAAGCAGAACUGCCGAGAUGCUCACAAGGUUGGCAUGACCAAGACAGACACUCAGACCCUUUCAGAAAUUAAUCCUGAUGUUGUGCUUGAGCCAAGAAAUCAAGUGCAUGAAGAUUCAAGUACUAGAAAUCAAGUAAUGCUAGCAAUGAUCUGCAGAUUUUCAAUGCUGAGAACUUACAGAGAAACAGUAAAAUCUACUAUAGGUUCGUUU
Magnolia sinica is the source of this 261-nucleotide long non-coding RNA. RefSeq lists it as uncharacterized. NCBI's taxonomy places the organism in Eukaryota, Viridiplantae, Streptophyta, Magnoliopsida, Magnoliales, Magnoliaceae. The transcript is spliced from 3 exons. The record is from RefSeq and is a predicted model, not a curated record.